GACGAACGCUGGCGGCGUGCUUAACACAUGCAAGUCGAACGGAAGGGCCCUGCUUUUGUGGGGUGCUCGAGUGGCGAACGGGUGAGUAACACGUGAGUAACCUGCCCUUGACUUUGGGAUAACUUCAGGAAACUGGGGCUAAUACCGGAUAGGAGCUCCUGCUGCAUGGUGGGGGUUGGAAAGUUUCGGCGGUUGGGGAUGGACUCGCGGCUUAUCAGCUUGUUGGUGGGGUAGUGGCUUACCAAGGCUUUGUCGGGUAGCCGGCCUGAGAGGGUGACCGGCCACAUUGGGACUGAGAUACGGCCCAGACUCCUACGGGAGGCAGCAGUGGGGAAUAUUGCACAAUGGGCGGAAGCCUGAUGCAGCAACGCCGCGUGCGGGAUGACGGCCUUCGGGUUGUAAACCGCUUUCGCCUGUGACGAAGCGUGAGUGACGGUAAUGGGUAAAGAAGCACCGGCUAACUACGUG
Molecule: ribosomal RNA, 468 nt
Filed under: uncultured bacterium
Lineage: Bacteria
Description: partial 16S ribosomal RNA
Rfam family: Bacterial small subunit ribosomal RNA
Source: RNAcentral